This 71-nucleotide transfer RNA is filed under the name Mus musculus (house mouse). RNAcentral's name for it is "tRNA-Asn". Lineage: Eukaryota; Metazoa; Chordata; Mammalia; Rodentia; Muridae. The record is from RNAcentral.
GGUGAGAUGGCUCAGUGGUUAAGAGCACUGACUGUUCUUCCAGAGGUCCUGAGUUCAAAUCCCAGCAACCA